Non-coding RNA from Pelobates cultripes (western spadefoot toad), 259 nucleotides. Lineage: Eukaryota; Metazoa; Chordata; Amphibia; Anura; Pelobatidae. The record is from the annotation of a GenBank genome assembly.
CUGACCUUUGUUAUCCCUUUUGCCCCCUUCAGGACAACUCUAGGCUUUCCUCAUUCUUACAGCUCAUUAGAUUUUAUGCUAGUCUCCAGUCCAUUAAAUGAACACUCCAGACUCCUAAAGCAAUUCAGCUUACCUACAGCUUACUUACAACAAAGUGAAAUCUCAAUCAGACAGAUGGUCCUGUUACAUCUGGGUAGUUUAGCUUAGUGGAACUAAACUCAAGGGGCAGGCAAUCAUCCAAAGCAUCUGCCUUGCAAAC